This 227-nucleotide unclassified non-coding RNA is filed under the name Hevea brasiliensis (rubber tree). The record is from RNAcentral. Lineage: Eukaryota; Viridiplantae; Streptophyta; Magnoliopsida; Malpighiales; Euphorbiaceae.
AGAACAGAAGCAGACAUUUCCUUGUCUGAAGGUGUUGGGAUUGAAUGAUCCUGAAAUUCAUUUAUGGAGCUCUUUGAAUUUGUAGAAACAUCAUCAUACUCUGAGCCAGGGGAACCUUGACAAAAGUUCUCAGUUUCAAUUUCUGAUAUUGAGGCCAGAGAACUAUGAGUGGGAACCUCAACAUCAUUUAGUCCAUCAACACAAGAGUUCAACAUGGUAUGUUCCAU